GCUUUGUGUCUCUCUUCACCUAACUAUAACAACAAAGGACAAGGUACAUGUGAGUAGCUAGGUAUAUAUCAUGUUAGAGGCCUAAUUUACAUAUAUAUAAUUAAAAGAAAAUUGCUAUAUUUUUUAGGUGGAUCUGGAUCUUCACCUAAAAAUUUUCGCAAAUAACAAGGAUGAUUAAAGCUCCCUAUAAAUGCUUCACUUGCUAUUUGACUUUUACAUGUAUAACAAGAGGCAAGUGGACAAAAAGGUUAAUUCUAGCUGAGAUUCCAUGUGGGGCAUAUUCAGGACAGAGUUUUCAGACUUUCACAUUGGUUGUAAAUAUGUGUGUGGGUUUAUAAAAAUGUGCUAAGACUCCUUUCGAUCAGCAAUUUUCUGGGUGUUAGUGUUGGUACAGUAACUCCUAUACUUCCGUGUGUAUGUAUCUGCCUAAAGAAAAAAAGAAACAAAAGGCCUUGAACCGGUGUGGUCUAAUUGAGGUCUCAUGUGAGUCCUGUCCAAGACAGAGACUUCGGGUGUGGAUGUGUGUGCGUUUGAGUUUAUAGGUAUGUGCUAAGGCUCCACCCAGUCAGCAAUUGCAUGAAAUGUAUUAAUGUAUUUCUUAACAUUUUUUCUUAGUAUAGCCCAUGAAGGCCUCCUCAUAUGAUGAAAAAUUAUAAUGUUUUUAAGGCCACUGCAUUCAUUGUCUGAUACUGUCAUAAUUCAUAAAGAUGCAUAACCUGCUCCCGACCGGCCUCUCUUUUUAAUUUCUUUUCAACAAGAACAUUGCAUUGAAUCAAAACUUUUGGUUAAAAUUUUUACAUUGAAAAAUAAAAUAAUUACUAAAAUUUCUGUUGCAACUACAAUACGCAAGUUAUUUAUGAUCCUUUGCUUGCCUUUCAACUGGUUCUCGACAACCUAAAACCUAAACCAAAAUGCUAUCUGGCGAUAUUUUACAGUCUAAUCACUAAAAUACUCAAAAGAUGCGUCCAGAGGGACGGCACCACUCCAUUUACCAGUUCUACCAAGUAAAGAUUGAAAGGUCAGAGAUGAUUAAAGGAAAAGAAAUGAUCAACAAUGUUAGUGUCGUAGAAUAAUCUACACGAGUAAAAAACUAAUUUGCACAAUUUUACUGUAAAGUGAAAGCUACAGUCAAUAAAAUAGCUGCCACCUAAAACUUGAUAGAGAUGCUCCAGGGUAUACUGGACUUACCACCGAUGAUAGAUUAUGUGAAAUAGUUUUGCUUUUGAUGGAAAGCUCUCUUAAUUUCUGAUGAGACAGGUUUGGCAAUUACUAAGCUCACUCACUCACUUGAUCAUCCAGAUCUUUGCUAUAAUACUGAAGGAUGCUGUAGCCUUCUAAUGGCUAUCCACUAGACUUCACUCUAUUCAAUGCCUGCCCUUUUUAUCUAAAACCAUCUCCUAUUGUGUUGCUCUUUGUUGGUCUCUUGGCCUUCCUUAGCUCCUCAGUACCGGCUUGAAAAUUGGAAUUACUCGUAGGAGAGCAGCACUCAUCCUUGCAACACCAGAUUAAAAUCAGUUUCCGUUAACUCCUAUUUUCUGUAACCAAUUUGUGUCAUUUCCUGAUGGGAAAUCUAUCUCAAAUUCUAUCCUUUCCAGUCUCGUCAAUCUCCUAUCUAAAGUUCUUAUUUCUCUCCGUGCUCACAUUUCCGGCUUAUAUUCUUUCCCAAAGUAGUCAAUAGAGAAAAAAGAGGACUCCAUCAAGCUAGUACAGACGCAAUGCCAACCAUCUACUGUAAAAGAAAUUUCUGCUUGUUUCAUUGUAGUUUCAUAAAGAUGGAUAAUGCCUAAAAAUUCUGUUAGCCAUCUAUAAAAUGAUCUGUCAUUUUUUUUUUAAUUUAAAGUUCACAGCAGAAUUUAUGAAGCCUCAUCCACCUUUUCAGAAGCAUUAUUUGGUUCUUUUUCGCCUCUAGAUUGGUAUCUUCGAAUUCCAAGAGUCUUGCAAUCCCAGACAAUCUCAGAUAUCUCAUCUUGAGGCAAAGUCAGACCUUGAUGUUUUAUUGAUCUAUGUAACCUGCAAAAGGAUUUUGGGUCUUGUAGUUUCAUGUAUUCAUGCAAGACCCUUUCAUGAUCUGGGAUCCAAUUCCUCGGAAAUGGUGUAUAAUCACAAGAUGGAAUCAAAGACAUAUGGGAGAACUGAACUCCUUCAAUUGCAUCCACAAGUCCCAUCCUCAAAAGAUCAGAAUAUUCAGGUACAGAAUUGUUGCUACUCUCCCUCAGUGGCCGACUGAGAUCACGUGAAGCAAUCUUGUAUACCUUAGCACGUGAUUUGAGCCUAUACCUGGCAGCAUAAAGUUUCGCCAAUGAGCUACGUAUCACGUAAGCACAAAAUCCAACAACUUUCUUUCGAUUAUCAGCAUAUCUAUACCAAUCAGCCAUGGUCUCAAGAAACUUGUUCAUUUGGGCAUUAGUAUGAGCUUGACUUGAAUAAAGCAUUGGAGUACAAGGCAAGGGCUCUGGAUCUUUAUCACCCUUAACAAACUCAAGGCGCCUAAAUUGACGUAUACACUGUUGCAAGCUAGCAGUAACUGAAAGCAAAGUCCCCACGCCCUUUUCACUUACAAUUUUGCCUCCACUUGCCGUGUAAUGAAGAGUGGGGUGUAUCACCCUGCGGCAAAUUAUAUGAUCCAAAAACUGAAUUCCCCUGGUUAUGUGUUCAAUCUCAAAUUUAGAAUUAUCCAACCUGAUCCCCAACUUACUCUCACAAAACUGGAUGAUUUCCUUUCGAGUUUGCACUGCAUCCUCUCUAGGCCCUCGAAUGCCAAUUAGAAAAUGACCCCCAUAUCGAAUGUAAUUCAUUUUCCGGGUCUUCUCUUUCCCACUAGAAGGAACAAACUCCGGCCAAGAAGGGUUAUGACACCCAUCAUCAGUUGAAUCUUUCCAUAUUGAGUCAAGCUUAUUUGGCCUAAAGAACUUAACUAUUUUCUCUUCCAUCAUUUGGUCCAAUUCAUUAAGACAAACAUUAGCAAGCAAAGGACUCAAAAUCCCACAAUAACCAUAAUUGGGUAUCUUCAUUGCCUCCUCUGGAGCAAAAUCAAAGAAAGUUCUCAACCAAUAUGGGUCAGGUUUUGGCUCAUUCUCAUUCAAAAUCUUCUUCUUUGUAGCCCCCUUCUUUUUCUUCCGUCUCAACUCUUCACUAACACCGCUCUUUGGUGGUUGUCGACUCCUAGUUGCCGGUUUAAGCGCAGUUUUUAUCAAAUUUAACACUUUCUUAUCUUUAACAACCUUUUCAACACAUCCCAUGACAAUAUUAGCAUCAAUAGCAACAAGAAGCUCACUUAUAUCACCUCUCAGAAACCAUAAAUAUCCUGCAAAAUGACUCCUUAUAGUCCUAAUUACAGUGUGUGCAUUCCUCCCAGGCCUAAAGGCGUGUGACUUACUCGAAAACCGGGCUUCAAAAAAGGGCUCCAGCACCAUGAGCAGCACCUCCUGAACCACCCGAUCCUGAAAGCACGGAUCGUCCGAAUCCAGCAUUGCUUUGAGCUUCGUUUUGGAGACGAGUUUCGUUAACGGCUUGUCGUUUGGGCUGCGGAUGAUUUGGUGGGCCUUAUCAUUCCACUUGAAGCGGUUGUGAACAACAGCGUUUUGGAGGGAGAGGAGAGAAUGAAGGGUGUGGGACUGGACGGCACUGCGGGGAGGGAACGUGCCCGUAACGUGAGCGCAGGAACGCUGGUAAGCGAGGACCCAGAGGUCGAGUUUUGAGAGGAAGCCGGUGACAUUAGGGAAAGUGGCGUCUGGAGGUGAAGAGAAGGAUUUGACCCAGAGAGAAGUGCAGAUUUCGAUUGGGUCUUCUUUUAGGAGAGAGUAUGGAUCUUGGUGAGUAGCGAGGGAAGAUAAAGAGCGAAGGCAAGAGAGAGAGUUCAAGAAGGAAAUGGAGGAGGGAAGGUAUUUGAUAAAUGUUCUAAGUGACAUAUUUCUGGAUGCUAGGUGCGGUUUAAGGGAAAAGUGCGGGUUAUCUGCACGUGUUUUGGUUUUUGGGUUCAGCAGAUGAGGAGGUAGGGAGUAGGGCGAAAGCGACGGAAGUAGAAGAGGGUGUGGCCGCGUCACUGGUGGUUGUUCUCGGUGACAUCUCCUGCAGGGUUGCUUUAGUGGCUAAUUGUUGGCACCCGGCGGGGGCUCGUUUUCAAGUACGAUGCUGUGAUUUUAAACGUCCUCUCGGCCACGGCUAAAAUGCUCGCGUGGAAAUGAUUCACUAUAUAAGUAUUUAAUUACCCAUUUACCCUCCUACCAUAAUUUACCAAAUUUCUUUUCCUUGCAUUGUGAGUUGGGGCGGAAAAAAAAAUCAAUGCAGA
Molecule: unclassified non-coding RNA, 4288 nt
Filed under: Hevea brasiliensis (rubber tree)
Lineage: Eukaryota; Viridiplantae; Streptophyta; Magnoliopsida; Malpighiales; Euphorbiaceae
Source: RNAcentral